UCUCUGAACCAUAAAAUGUUUUCAUAAAAUGUGUCCUUUAAAGCUCGAGUAGUAGCUGGGUGUGACAAAUGCUGAAUUGAUCAGAAAUGAUUGAGUGCUUCAGACAUUUCAAUUGAUAUGCUUUUGCUUGGAAUGCAGCACAAAGCCCUUAUUGUGUUUAAUAUUCAUUCGUUCAAAUGUCACUUCUCUUGAGCCACGGCGACGAUCUUGUCAAACAUCUCAUGAGUCUCUCACUGGGAAAUGUGUCACCACUUGUUGAUUUGUCCACACUGCAUCUUUAGAAGCAUAACGUUCACUUAAAAUGUGAGUAGAGUAUGAGAGUAGGCAGAAUGAAAGGAUAUCAUGUAUGAUCUACAAACCCCAUGGUGCCAUGGUAACUAAGAAGUGAAGAGGUGAGUUGUGAACAGGAACAUGGUGAAAGGUUGUUUUUUUUUUUUUUUUCCCCUUCUGCAGCUGCUAUUGUAAGAUGUUUCUCAGAGCACAUUCACUUAUAAAACCAUUUUCUUGGCAGGGUUGUUCAUUCACACCAUGAUUAUUUUCCUUCUUAUUAUUUCUUUCCCCUGGUUUGAAAUCGAAGCCACUUAAUGUUAACAGAGGCGGGAAUCCACUCCUAAGAAGAGAGCAUGUUCUGCAGUAUUUCUUUGACUUUGGUCUGUUUAAUGUAGACCUAGAAAUAACAAACAUUUAUUCAUGUAGGAGCCAAAUUCUGGAGUCAGUGACAUGCUGACAGUGAAUUGGACAUCAGCUUUGCAAAGAGGCACGUGGACUUUUCAUGCAAUAAAAUAAGUCUCAUUUAGAUUGUGAAACAAACCUCCUCUGACGAGUGAAACUGGGUGUGCAGACAUACAGGGAGUCUGAGGUUGGUUUCUGUGCAUUUUAUGAAAUGUAUAUCUACCGUAGAUACCGCGAGCGGCAGACUGCACAAGCACAGGCUGGUUUGCGAGAGAAGAGUGGCAGGAUUUCCUGUGUAAUAAAAACACUUGUCUACGGGGAGUCUGACUGCUGAAGUCUGCUGUCCUGACAUUUGUAUUCUCAAUCCUAAAAGGACAGGGAUGCCCAUCUUAUUUGACCAUGGCUCAUAUUUAUUGUGUUACAGCUGUUGUUUCGCUUUUAUCAAGGGGCCCAGUAUUUCUACUGGCACCACAGAUUAGAAAUCACUUGUGCUUCUGUAGUUUAAAGUUGCCAAAGGGGUGUGAAACACAUCCUGCAUAAGCUGGCACUCUAUCCUAGAAGUCUUGUGUACAUACAAAGACGCUUGUGUGCAUAAUUCCACAUUUCUCUGUGUUCCUUUUUAUUUUUUUGGCUUCUAUCAGACAAGUAGUAAUUCAAAAUGUGUCUGAUACAGUAGAAAACUGAAAAUAAUAAAAACAGUUUCAUCUGUAGGUUGCCUGUUUCCACGCAGCAGCGUCCAUUUUGGAUCUUCUUACCCCGAGGCCGACCAUGCUGCCUCUCACUACAUGGGAUCUUGUGUCCUCUUCACCUUCUCAAUAAUUCAAUGGAAAGAGGAGACGUCAGCUCUGGUAUAAUUACGGUGUGAGGGUGACAAGCUCCUCUGUCAAGGGCAAGAUGGGACCAAGCUUUACAGUACUGGAGAGAGCUAAAAGACACAACAGCAGUGUUAUAUACCGUGACACUGUCGAUGACAAAAGCUUCAGCUACAGGGAGAUGAUGAAACUGCAGAUUGCAGCCCAGAGGAAAACAUUCAGCAGCUGAGGAGCUCCAGCGCAGACAGGUGAUUCGCUUCUAAUGGAUGUUAAUGUGGUGGACACAACUGAGGAUAUUCCCAGUGGUAUACACUUACAGUUAAUUGAUAAUUGAGGUCUAUGAAAAGAUGCACAUUAAAUCAUGGCAAACGAGCCUGCCUAUAAGGUUGCAGCAAUUUAAAGAACAAGUCUCCAGAGUCUCUUAAGGUUUCCCACAACUGAAAUGCACUCUGAAUGAAUAAUUGAGGCCCAAAUAUUGUUAACUUGUAUUACCUUACGUAAGGCAUUGCUAUUUCAAACAUGUAGCAUAUGCAUAAUGUUAUUUUGCAUAAACACUUUCACCUCCGCCAACUCCAGGUUGCUCAGUCCUGUAAUGACUUUCUUGAUGUCUCUUUAUGUUGCUGUUUGAUCAGUACCUUUCCUAAUGAGCCCAUGUGUUGAGAUGUGACUCUGAUUGGCUUGAAUUUAAUGUUUUGCCACAUUUAACAUUAAUAAUCUGCAACGUAUUUUGCUGCCCUUUGCUACUAACUGAUACUAUACUAGAAACAUUUAUCCUACAGUAAGUGCAGUUCAUGAAGGAUUUAGAAUUUUCCACAUGCAUUCCAUGUUUAUAGGUACAAAUGAUGUUUGUUUAUAUUGGCCAGCAUGUUUAAAACAUGCGCCGACUACUACAGUGCUAUCAUCAUGUAUAAUGCUUUUUUUAGCUAUCAGUUGGCCGGGGCACAAUAGUUGAGAUCAUUAUAUUGAUAUGGCUAUUUCUUCAAAAUUAAUCGUAUCAUAAUGCAAAUGUAUGACAAAUCACAAAUAAAAUAAACUGAUGUUCACA
Micropterus salmoides (largemouth bass) is the source of this 2529-nucleotide long non-coding RNA. RefSeq lists it as uncharacterized. The record is from RefSeq and is a predicted model, not a curated record. The transcript has 2 exons. NCBI's taxonomy places the organism in Eukaryota, Metazoa, Chordata, Actinopteri, Centrarchiformes, Centrarchidae.